Molecule: ribosomal RNA, 458 nt
Filed under: uncultured bacterium
Lineage: Bacteria
Description: partial 16S ribosomal RNA
Rfam family: Bacterial small subunit ribosomal RNA
Source: RNAcentral
CCUACGGGAGGCUGCAGUGGGGAAUAUUGGACAAUGGGGGGAACCCUGAUCCAGCGACGCCGCGUGAGUGAAGAAGUAUUUCGGUAUGUAAACCUCUUUUGCCGGGGAGCAAGGGCCGGGACGAGUCCCGGUCCGGAGAGUACCCGGAGAAAAAGCAUCGGCUAACUCCGUGCCAGCAGCCGCGGUAAUACGGAGGAUGCGAGCGUUAUCCGGAUUUAUUGGGUUUAAAGGGUGCGUAGGCGGGCUUUUAAGUCAGCGGUAAAAAUUCGGGGCUCAACCCCGUCCGGCCGUUGAAACUGGGGGCCUUGAGUGGGCGAGAAGAAGGCGGAAUGCGUGGUGUAGCGGUGAAAUGCAUAGAUAUCACGCAGAACCCCGAUUGCGAAGGCAGCCUUCCGGCGCCCUACUGACGCUGAGGCACGAAAGUGCGGGGAUCGAACAGGAUUAGAUACCCUGUAGUC